UUGAGGCGAGCUCUUAUGCAUUAUUGAUUCCUCUACAUCGCCUGUUUGAAAAUUAGCUUAACCUUCUUAAAAUACAAAUAAUUACCAUCUAAACUAAUACAUGAAUUAUCAAUCUGUCGAUGAUAAUUUGAGACACCUCGGAACCUGAACAUAACGGCCUACCUCUAUUGUAAACAGAUACAGGGGAUGGAGCUUAUGAAUUAUUGAUGUAUCGAUAGAGAGCUGUUUAUCGGAUUUCAUAGGAAGGGACGGUGGUAAUAAUUACAGACUCUCUUCAGGUGAUAAUUCUCAGGGAAUAAAUGCCUUGAAUAUCGUAAAACAGAAAUGAAAGCGAUUAAGAGUUUAACAGGAAAUAAACUGUUGGAUGUAGGUAUCUGUCUUUGAAUCUACAUUGGAGUUUCAUCUUUCAAACAGCUAAUAAAUAUUAAUACUAGAAUUCGGAGAAAUUCAAACAAAGUAUACCAAGCGUGACCACAGCAGAACUUGGCAACAACACGUCCAUUUGUUACAUAAAAGAAUUAUAUUUACCGCACGUAAUACGUAUUGAUAGCAAUCAACCCAGAUGAGCAAAGACUUGAGAGAAGUUCUGAAACUACAUAACGCAAAUUGUGCUCAUGCUAAUUGUGGGAUAUUGAACAACAGGACAUUUAACAAACACAAGGUCGAAAAAUAUCUGAAUCCGGAAUUAUUGAAAAAUGAAACACCCAAAGAUUGAUCUUUUCUCGCUCAUUGAAUGGAACUGUGAAGUAAAUGUAUAUACACUAUUUUUUCUUUAUGUAAUGGUUGAAUGAACAAGAGGCUU
Molecule: long non-coding RNA, 802 nt
Organism: Ostrea edulis (European flat oyster)
Lineage: Eukaryota; Metazoa; Mollusca; Bivalvia; Ostreida; Ostreidae
Exons: 2
Source: RefSeq, a predicted model, not a curated record